CCUACGGGAGGCAGCAGUAGGGAAUAUUGCUCAAUGGGGGCAACCCUGAUGCAGCAACGCCGCGUGGAGGAUGAAGGUUUUCGGAUUGUAAACUCCUUUUGUGAGAGAGGAUGAUGACGGUAUCUCUCGACUUAGCACUGGCUAACUCCGGGCCAGCAGCCGCGGUAAUACGGAGGGUGCAAGCGUUCCUCGGAAUCACUGGGCGGAAAGAGGGCGCAGGCGGGUGUGUAAGUCAGAUGUGAAUUCCCGUAGCUUAACUACAGAACUGCAUUUGAAACUAUGAGGCUAGAGUGUGGUAGAGGUAGGUAGAAUUCUAGGUGUAGGGGUAAAAUGCGUAGAGAUGAAGAGGAAUACUCAUGGCGAAGGCGACCUACUGGAACAAGACUGACGCUCAUGCACGAAAGCGUGGGGAGCAAACAGGAUUAGAUACCCCAGUAGUC
RNAcentral lists this ribosomal RNA (440 nucleotides) under uncultured bacterium. RNAcentral describes it as "partial 16S ribosomal RNA". It matches the Rfam family "Bacterial small subunit ribosomal RNA", at positions 338 to 795 of the family's 1533-position model. The record is from RNAcentral.